CCUACGGGAGGCAGCAGUGGGGAAUAUUGGGCAAUGGGCGCAAGCCUGACCCAGCAACGCCGCGUGAAGGAAGAAGGCUUUCGGGUUGUAAACUUCUUUUCUCAGGGACGAAGCAAGUGACGGUACCUGAGGAAUAAGCCACGGCUAACUACGUGCCAGCAGCCGCGGUAAUACGUAGGUGGCAAGCGUUAUCCGGAUUUACUGGGUGUAAAGGGCGUGUAGGCGGGACUGCAAGUCAGAUGUGAAAACCAUGGGCUCAACCUAUGGCCUGCAUUUGAAACUGUAGUUCUGGAGUGCUGGAGAGGCAGACGGAAUUCCUAGUGUAGCGGUGAAAUGCGUAGAUAUUAGGAGGAACACCAGUGGCGAAGGCGGUCUGCUGGACAGCAACGGACGCUGAGGCGCGAAAGCGUGGGGAGCAAACAGGAUUAGAUACCCGAGUAGUC
RNAcentral lists this ribosomal RNA (443 nucleotides) under uncultured bacterium. Its description in RNAcentral is "partial 16S ribosomal RNA". It matches the Rfam family "Bacterial small subunit ribosomal RNA", at positions 338 to 795 of the family's 1533-position model. The record is from RNAcentral.